Molecule: ribosomal RNA, 1481 nt
Filed under: metagenome
Description: bacterial LSU rRNA
Rfam family: Bacterial large subunit ribosomal RNA
Source: RNAcentral
AGGCGAAAGAUUCCUGCACCCGUAUAUGGAGCGAAGGAGUGACGGAGACGGAUAGUGUGACCCUCUUAAUGGAUUGAGGGCGAAGCGAAGCGGCUGGUUACCAGGCAAAUCCGGUAACCAUAAGGCUAGAGCGUGAUAGGUAAGCGAAAUCUUAGGAGAGUAGCGAAGCACAUGAUGACGGCUUCCAGGAAAAGCUUCUGGCAAUGCAUAUGCGGCCCGUACCAAAACCGACACAGGUGGGCAGGGAGAGAAUCCCGAGGUGAGCGAGAGAACUGUUGCCAAGGAACUCGGCAAAAUGACUCCGUAAGUUAGCGAGAAGGAGUGCUUAAGCAAUUAAGCCGCAGUGAAGAGGCCCAAGCGACUGUUUAACUAAAAUACAGCUCUCUGCGAAGUCGCAAGACGAAGUAUAGGGGGUGACACCUGCCCGGUGCUGGAAGGUUAAGAGGAUCUGUUAAGAGCGAUCUGAAGCAGUGAUCCGAAGCCCCAGUGAACGGCGGCCGUAACAAUAACGGUCCUAAGGUAGCGAAAUUCCUUGUCAGGUAAGUUCUGACCCGCACGAAAGGUGUAACGAUUUGGGCGCUGUCUCGGCAGCAGACUCGGUGAAAUCUUAGUACCUGUGAAAAUGCAGGUUACCCGCAACUAGACGGAAAGACCCCAUGGAGCUUUACUGCAGCCUGAUAUUGAAUUCUGGUCAUACAUGUACAGGAUUGGUGGGAGACAAAGAGACGUGCACGCCAGUGUACGAGGAGUCGACGUUGGGAUACCACUCUUGUGUGACCGGGGUUCUAACCUGGUAUCGAGAACAGGUACGGGGAGAGUGUCAGGUGGGCAGUUUGACUGGGGCGGUCGCCUCCCAAAGAGUAACGGAGGCGCCCAAAGGUACGCUCAGAUUGGAUGGAAACCAAUCGUCGAGUGCAAUUGCAGAAGCGUGCUUGACUGUGAGACUUACAAGUCGAACAGGGACGAAAGUCGGGAAUAGUGAUCCGGCGGUGCCGAAUGGAAGGGCCGUCGCUCAACGGAUAAAAGCUACCCUGGGGAUAACAGGCUGAUCUCGCCCAAGAGUUCACAUCGACGGCGAGGUUUGGCACCUCGAUGUCGGCUCAUCGCAUCCUGGAGCUGGAUUCGGUUCCAAGGGUUGGGCUGUCCGCCCAUUAAAGCGGUACGCGAGCUGGGUUCAGAACGUCGUGAGACAGUUCGGUCCCUAUCUGUUGUGGGCGAAGGAGAUCUGCGGAGAGCUGUCCUCAGUACGAGAGGACCGGGAUGGACCUACCGCUGGUGCACCGGUUGUUCCGCCAGGGGCAUAGCCGGGUAGCUAAGUAGGGAAAGGAUAAGCGCUGAAAGCAUCUAAGCACGAAGCCUACUCCAAGAUGAGAUCUCCCAUUCGCAAGAAGUAAGACCCCUUAAAGACGAUAAGGUAGAUAGGCCAGAGAUGGAAGUGCAGUGAUGUACGGAGUUGACUGGUACUAAUCGGUCGAGGACUC